GACGGGUAUUCUUGGGUACAUAAUACGGAUGGCGCUGUUAUUGCUUGAGAAUACGCGUAGU
Molecule: microRNA precursor, 61 nt
Filed under: Ornithorhynchus anatinus (platypus)
Lineage: Eukaryota; Metazoa; Chordata; Mammalia; Monotremata; Ornithorhynchidae
Description: Oan-Mir-137-P3-v2_pre stem-loop
Rfam family: mir-137 microRNA precursor family
Source: RNAcentral